GUGCUUUCUUUAUUGUUUAUAGAUUCCUAAACUUUUUCAAGGGAGUUUUCUUUUCCGGACGUUCCCUGAAGGUCUCGGACAAGUCCCAUGCUAGACUCCAGCGUUAAAGGUUGGGAUCAGGACGGCUCUCAGUACGACUUCUGUGCUCAGUCUGUCCUUCUCCUGCUGAGCAACCUGAUUCCAAACAACGGUGGAGCGGUGAAACAGCGACACCGUGUGGCAGAACUACAACAGAUCUUUGUCUGGAUCAGCAUCUCUACAUCUGUGUGUAACCACCAGCACAUGGGGGUUGUUAGAGCUGCUGUGUUUCCAGCUAUCCAGUCACGCUCGUUUGACGCCACACAACCCCCGUCUCUCUCCCAGCAUGCCUCUGAAAAACAUCAGAUCUUUGUCUGGAUCAGCAUCUCUACAUCUGUGUGUAACCACCAGCACAUGGGGGUUGUUAGAGCUGCUGUGUUUCCAGCUAUCCAGUCACGCUCGUUUGACGCCACACAACCCCCGUCUCUCUCCCAGCAUGCCUCUGAAAAACAUCAGAUCUUUGUCUGGAUCAGCAUCUCUACAUUUGUGUGUAACCACCAGCACAUGGGGGUUGUUAGAGCUGCUGGUGGGUUGUUAAAGGUUCACAGAUCAUCCAUCUGGGGUUGGAGAGGAGGGGUAAUGACUCAGCUUUUUGUUCUAGUGUUUCCAGCUAGCCAGUCACGCUCGUUUGACGCCACACAACCCCCGUCUCUCUCCCAGCAUGCCUCUGAAAAACAUCAGAUCUUUGUCUGGAUCAGCAUCUCUACAUCUGUGUGUAACCACCAGCACAUGGGGGUUGUUAGAGCUGCUGUGUUUCCAGCUAUCCAGUCACGCUCGUUUGACGCCACACAACCCCCGUCUCUCUCCCAGCAUGCCUCUGAAAAACAUCAGAUCUUUGUCUGGAUCAGCAUCUCUACAUCUGUGUGUAACCACCAGCACAUGGGGGUUGUUAGAGCUGCUGUGUUUCCAGCUAGCCAGUCACGCUCGUUUGAUGCCACACAACCCCCGUCUCUCUCCCAGCAUGCCUCUGAAAAACAUCAGAUCUUUGUCUGGAUCAGCAUCUCUACAUCUGUGUGUAACCACCAGCACAUGGGGGUUGUUAGAGCUGCUGUGUUUCCAGCUAGCCAGUCACGCUCGUUUGACGCCACACAACCCCCGUCUCUCUCCAAGCAUGCCUCUGAAAAACAUCAGAUCUUUGUCUGGAUCAGCAUCUCUACAUCUGUGUGUAACCACCAGCACAUGGGGGUUGUUAGAGCUGCUGUGUUUCCAGCUAGCCAGUCACGCUCGUUUGACGCCACACAACCCCCGUCUCUCUCCCAGCAUGCCUCUGAAAAACAUCAGUGAACAUCCAGUGUUCAGAAGAGCGUCCAAUGGGACACUCCUAAAAGCCUCAAAUCAUCAAACUUGGCCUCCAAAAGGAGUCCCACAGUUCCAAAACCCCAGAGGAGGUGGAGAAGGAGGCACGGGCCCAUGUCACCAGUGAGGGUGGGGAGAUCGAUACCCCACCCUGGUGCUGAGCCGGUGGAAGGUCCAGUUUGGUAAAUACCAGGACAAGACCUUCCAAUGGCUGCUGGAAAAUGACGUGGGCUACACUAUCAAUCUGGUGUCCUCCCACCAGAAGGAGCGAGAGAGGACAGCGUCUCAGUCCCCACUGAUGGUCAACAAGGUGAUGUGUCUGAGGUUCAUUUGUCUUAGUUCCAAGUGUGAUGCUUUAACAGAACUUUUGGACCAUCAGGACGGCCUCAUCCGUUGCUCCUCAGCCUAUCCUGACUUUGUGGAGGUGGUCAGGUUCCACCAGGCGUUUGAGGAGGCUCCGGUGAGGUCUCUUCAGUCUGGGUAGGAGGGACAGGCCCUUGUUGGCUUUGGGGACUUUAAGUUCGAGACGCUGCAGAACCUGUACGAGUCUGAGGACCCCAAAAAAGAUCCGGUUUGUCAACUACUUGCGGAGGAAGGCUCCUGCUCCAGGAACUCAGAUGGAGAACGCGUACGCUCCAUCAAGGCCAGGGACAGACUCCUGCUGCUGCAACUACCACCUCUCCCAGCAGCAGCAGCAGCUCUGCAUCAGGUUCAUCAGGCCUGGCAGCCAAAUCUGCACAGAGAUUUACGUCCUUUGUCUCUGGUCGGCGUUCUCUGUCUGUGGUGGAAAUGCAGGUGAAAGUAAAGCAGCUUGUGGGCAGACCUGCAUUUCCAGCCUCCUCUGCAUCUGCUGCUUCAUCCCAAACCUUCAUGGAGCCUACGGAUGAAGAGCUGGUCAGCGCUGUAGUUGACAUAGAGUGUGACAGAACAGAACAGACACAUUCAGAGGUUCUCCUGCCGGCAAAAAAAGUGGGAGAGGGCUGUGCUCGAGCAGGAAGCUGGACUUCCUGCCGCUUCAGCCGUUUCCCUGCAGCCUCUCCCUGCAGCUAAAGGGCGGUCCUCGCUUCAGGUGGGACAGGGACAGCCCUACAACUACAAGCUGCCAGAGGAGAACAUUCCUCUGCCAGCAACACCAUCCGGGACUGAACCCCAGCUUGACCCUGAAGCUCCUCCUCCUCCAUCACCACCUCCUCCUCCUUCUGAGCGUGUGCCCAGGACGACCGCCUUCAGAAGGAGGAAAGCGGAGGAAGCAGCAGCUCCGGGAAAAGGCCUUCCAACCAAAGUCCGCCGACAGGUUGUGCGGUACACCUGCAGAAAGUGUGGCCAGCCAAAAAGACUAGACACCGGCCACACACGCAUUGCUGGGGUGUCUUACUGCGCAACCGUCGGUGGGAAAAGUGUGAAGGAAUGGAGGGAAGGAACACUAAAGACUUUUAAAAAUAUAUUUAGUUUUUCUACUUUUAAUUAAAAAUUAAUAUUUUUGUUGCAAAGGAUCCCAGGACCACUAAAAACUAUUU
Oryzias latipes (Japanese medaka) is the source of this 2891-nucleotide non-coding RNA. The record is from RefSeq and is a predicted model, not a curated record. NCBI's taxonomy places the organism in Eukaryota, Metazoa, Chordata, Actinopteri, Beloniformes, Adrianichthyidae.